GUGGGGAAUAUUGCACAAUGGGCGCAAGCCUGAUGCAGCAACGCCGCGUGCGGGAUGACGGCCUUCGGGUUGUAAACCGCUUUCACCCAUGACGAAGCGAAAGUGACGGUAGUGGGAGAAGAAGCACCGGCCAACUACGUGCCAGCAGCCGCGGUGAUACGUAGGGUGCGAGCGUUGUCCGGAAUUAUUGGGCGUAAAGAGCUUGUAGGCGGUUGAUUGCGUCAGAAGUGAAAUCUCAGGGCUUAACCCUGAGCGUGCUUCUGAUACGGGUUGACUAGAGGAAAGUAGGGGAGAACGGAAUUCCUGGUGGAGCGGUGGAAUGCGCAGAUAUCAGGAGGAACACCGGUGGCGAAGGCGGUUCUCUGGACUUUUCCUGACGCUGAGAAGCGAAAGCGUGGGGAGCAAACAGGCUUAGAAACCCUAGUAGUCC
This 430-nucleotide ribosomal RNA is filed under the name uncultured bacterium. Its description in RNAcentral is "bacterial SSU rRNA". It matches the Rfam family "Bacterial small subunit ribosomal RNA", at positions 354 to 796 of the family's 1533-position model. The record is from RNAcentral.